UACAGAGACUGCAAGCGUUAUUCGGAUUCACUGGGCGUAAAGGGUGCGCAGGCGGCCGAGUGUGUGAGGCGUGAAAGCCCGGGGCUUAACCCCGGAAUUGCACCUCAAACUACACGGCUAGAGCAUUGGAGAGGGUAGCAGAAUUCAUGGUGUAGCAGUGAAAUGCGUAGAGAUGUGGAGGAACACCGAUGGCGAAGGCAGCCCCCUGGGCUAACACUGACGCUCAUGCACGAAAGCGUGGGGAGCAAACAGG
Molecule: ribosomal RNA, 253 nt
Filed under: uncultured bacterium
Lineage: Bacteria
Description: partial 16S ribosomal RNA
Rfam family: Bacterial small subunit ribosomal RNA
Source: RNAcentral